GAUGAACGCUGGCGGCGUGCCUAAUACAUGCAAGUCGAGCGAACAGACGAGGAGCUUGCUCCUCUGACGUUAGCGGCGGACGGGUGAGUAACCCGUGGAUAACCUACCUAUAAGACUGGGAUAACUUCGGGAAACCGGAGCUAAUACCGGAUAAUAUAUUGAACCGCAUGGUUCAAUAGUGAAAGACGGUUUUGCUGUCACUUAUAGAUGGAUCCGCGCCGCCUUAGCUAGUUGGUAAGGUAACGGCUUACCAAGGCAACGAUGCGUAGCCGACCUGAGAGGGUGAUCGGCCACACUGGAACUGAGACAAGGUCCAGACUCCGACGGGAGGCAGCAGUAGGGAAUCUUCCGCAAUGGGCGAAAGCCUGACGGAGCAACGCCGCGUGAGUGAUGAAGGUCUUCGGAUCGUAAAACUCUGUUAUUAGGGAAGAACAAAUGUGUAAGUAACUAUGCACGUCUUGACGGUACCUAAGCAGAAAGCCACGGCUAACUACGUG
This 497-nucleotide ribosomal RNA is filed under the name uncultured bacterium. Its description in RNAcentral is "partial 16S ribosomal RNA". It matches the Rfam family "Bacterial small subunit ribosomal RNA", at positions 28 to 507 of the family's 1533-position model. The record is from RNAcentral.